CGAGAAAGCCCGCAAGGGUGAGUAAAGCGGCGCACGGGUGCGUAACACGUGGGUAAUCUGCCCUAGAGUCCGGAAUAACUCGCCGAAAGGCGUGCUAAUGCCGGAUGAGACCACGGGAGCCUCGGCUCCUGCGGGAAAAGGUGGCCUCUGUACACAAGCUAUCGCUCUAGGAUGAGCCCGCGGCCCAUCAGCUAGUUGGCGGGGUAAUGGCCCACCAAGGCUACGACGGGUAGCUGGUCUGAGAGGACGAUCAGCCACACUGGAACUGAGACACGGUCCAGACUCCUACGGGAGGCAGCAGUGGGGAAUCUUGCGCAAUGGGCGAAAGCCUGACGCAGCAACGCCGCGUGUGUGAUGAAGGUCUUCGGAUCGUAAAGCACUGUCGCGAGGGACG
Molecule: ribosomal RNA, 394 nt
Filed under: uncultured Anaeromyxobacter sp.
Lineage: Bacteria; Pseudomonadati; Myxococcota; Myxococcia; Myxococcales; Anaeromyxobacteraceae
Description: bacterial SSU rRNA
Rfam family: Bacterial small subunit ribosomal RNA
Source: RNAcentral